GUGAAUAGUACACAUACCACACUAACCUGUCUGUUGACCCCGCCGGGUCACAGACACACAUACACAGAGCUCGUCUUUCAUUCAUACCACACAGUAUACUGAGCAUCGGGGGUGAGAGUCUUCACAGCACAGACGCAUGAGAACAAAACUGGACACUAUGGGAACCAGAGGAAUUCUGCUGAAGAGUAAUAUCCUGCUAUUGUUAUUUCCAUGCCAAGUGCAAUGGGACCGAUCAUUUCCCUUCGCUGUUAUGACCUACCUGAAGAUUGAUGUUUGACUUGCUGGGUAAUUUUGCUGUAAAGUUUACAGAAUGCUGCUCCCAUCCCACUCAAGCAUACGAGGGAUGACACUUUCUGUCCCGAACGCUUAACUCACGACAUCCCAUCAGAAACAAAGCUCAAUCUCUGCAGUUCACACUCAGAACCGAAGGACAAACUCAUCUGCCUCUCGCCCAUGCAAUCUCCACGGAAACUCAUUUACUUUGCACUGCUGAGUAUAAAGUCAUCAUCUAAUUCCCCCUUGCCUGAGUGAUAAAAAACUACAAACAUUAAAGAGCUCUGGACCCACCGGAUGACUUCCACAGCAGACUAACUUCCAUUCGCCCGGAGCGCCGCAUGGCUUUUGGGAAGCGGUAGAGGAUUCCAUUGUUCUCUGGCCCCCCUGGGUCCCCUUGUGACUGUGUCAGCUGGUUGAGGGGAAGCCCAUUGUGAUCCGGUUGUGCUGUGACAGGACGGUGUGCCUUCUCUAGACACACUGUCAUUGGCGUUACACAAACAGACAGAUGGACAUUGGGGAGCCGACAGGUGGGUGUCAAAUAGCAGCACACAAUACAGUCUAGCUGAGAGGGCCAAAGGAAUGUGACCCACAAAGGUGGGGAAAAGGUCUCUUUGUUUGUUUUGCUUAGGUAUACUGUACGUACAGAAUAUUAUUUUCAUUGAAGUGAAGAGAAAUACAGAGAUGCUACAGUGGAAACCAGUUAAUAGGCCGAAAACUUCGUUCACUGCAUUAAAGAUUCAUUAAGUCAUUAAGACCAUUAGCAAACACCAUCACAACCAUUCGAUACAUGGGGAGGAAACUGUCAGAGACCAUGUUUUAUGCACACUUUACAAUUUAAAAUAAAAAAGCAUGUAUAUUUACAUUAAUAUGCUUCAUUGAUUUUGGAUAUUCCUGUAUACUGUAUAUGCAGUCAGCAUAU
Long non-coding RNA from Cyprinus carpio (common carp), 1195 nucleotides. RefSeq lists it as uncharacterized. NCBI's taxonomy places the organism in Eukaryota, Metazoa, Chordata, Actinopteri, Cypriniformes, Cyprinidae. The record is from RefSeq and is a predicted model, not a curated record. The transcript has 4 exons.